Molecule: transfer RNA, 170 nt
Filed under: Candidatus Woesearchaeota archaeon
Lineage: Archaea; Nanobdellati; Candidatus Woesearchaeota
Description: tRNA-Gln
Source: RNAcentral
AGCCCCGUGGUGUAGCGGUCAAGCAUAGGGGAUUUUGGAUCCUCUGACCCAGGUUCGAAAUCUGGGAUUUUUCGGCAUGCCGAAAAUCCAGGAGGAUUUUCAAGCACAAUGAGGGUUCUACGAACCCUCGGAACGAUGGAAAAGACUCGGCGAAAGUCCUGGCGGGGCUA